Molecule: long non-coding RNA, 234 nt
Filed under: Fukomys damarensis (Damara mole-rat)
Lineage: Eukaryota; Metazoa; Chordata; Mammalia; Rodentia; Bathyergidae
Description: lncRNA (ENSFDAG00000026207.1)
Source: RNAcentral
GUUCUAGAGCUCAUGGUGAGCCACGAGAGGCCUUGCCACUGAAAAUCACCUGGAUUCAAGUAGGUGCAGGGGUGAUCCUCCAUCAGUACCGGAUAGGUAAUCUCUGCAGGCUUAGGGAUCCUGAUGUCACAGUGAGGCAUACAACAUAUUCACACUGAUCCAGGGCACCAACUAUGUUCUGCCACCGCCUAAUGCAUGGGUAAGUGACUAAGGAGUCCCUUGGCAUUCCUGGCC